UUUUUUUUUUUUUUUUUUUUUUUUGUCUUUUUAGGGCAGCACCCACAGCAUGUGGAGGUUUCCAGGCUAGGGGUUGAAUCGGAGCUGUAGCUGCUGGCCUACACCACAGCCACUGCAAUGUCAGAUCCAAGCCUUGUCUGUGACCUACACCACAGCUCCCGGCAAUGCUGGAUCCUCAACCCACUGAGCGAGGCCAGGGAUCAAACCCACAUCCUCAUGGAUGCUAGUCAGAUUCGUUAACCACUGAGCCACGACGGGAACUCCUGCAUCCUCAUUCUUAAACAAGGAACAGGAACCGCACUUUCAACACCCACCACCGAGCCAUGAGACUCUAAGGUGAAAACAGUGACAAGUAUCUAAAGGGGUUCCUGCCGCUGCUGCCAGUGACAAUACUGGGGACAUUUCCUUUACCUGCCACUUUCAGAUCUAGAUUUUUUUUUUUUUUGUCUUUUGUCUUUUUAGGGCCACACCCACGGCAUAUGGAGGGACGUAAGCACAUAUACAGAAAAGGCAUAUACCUUUGUACAUGAAUAUCUAUGUACAAAUCAUAGCUAUUUUGCUGAAUACCUUUUCACAAAGGCUACUGCCAACCAGAUCAAGACAGAAAAUAUUACCAACACCUCAGUCUCAUUUUGUGACUGUUUUCAGUCAACAUUGCCCCCAACCCCAAGGUAACUGCUACCUUGAUUUCUAUCACCGAAGAGUAAGUAGUUGUACCUGUUUUUGAAAUGCUCCCUAAUGGGAACGUACACUACUUUAUCCUGUGGGUCUGCCUUUUCUUACCCAAAGUUGGCUGAGAUUCAGCCACUUUUGUGCCCAAAGCAGUUUAUCACCUUUGCUGGAUUUUAUUCCUUUACAUAAAUACAUCAUAAAUGUAUCCAUUCUGCCAUGGUUAUCUGCUAUUUCCAGUCUUCCUUGGUUCCUGAAAACAAGCACGUACAUGUCUAUGAGUCAAGUGCUGGCCCAUUUCUGUUUCGUUUAUACCUAAAAGGGAACUGGUGCCCCAUAAAUUAUGCAUAUAUUACAUCUGCCAAAUGUGCGCUUCCAGCAGCAGUGUGGGAGAGUUCCAGUUGCUUCGUAACCUCACCCAACAAUUGACAUCGUGUCGUCACCAUUUCCUAAGUCUGGUGAGAGUGUAGUGAAAUUUCACUGUAGUUUUACUUGCAUUUCUGGAUGAAUGAGAUUCGGCAUGUUUGCCUGGGCUAGGUGUCCUCUCCUCACUGGUAAAAUGCCUCUUCAAGUCCCUUGACCACACUGCUUCAUAUUUUAGAAGCAGUUCAUGACUUACCCAUGCCAAGGCAAGGAGGAGUGGCAGGGAAAAUAAAAAAUGGUAGAUGGGGAGUUCCCGUUGUGGCACAACUAGUAUCCAUGAGGAUGCAGGUUCGAUCUCUGGCCUCGCCCAGUGGGAUAAGGAUCCGGCAUUGCCGUGAGCUGUGCUAUAGAUUGCAGACGUGGCUCCGAUCCCACGUUGCUGUGACUGUGGCAUAGGCUGGCAACUGUAUCUCUGAUUCCACCCCUACCUGGGAACCUCCAUAUGCCAUGGGUACAGCCCUAAAAAGAAAAAAAAAAAAAAAAAAAAAAAGUAAAAGGUUUGAAAAAAAUCAUGUCUUUUCAUUUCAGUCUUUAUUCCAGUACUUGGAUCUAGAGUUCCUUGAACUCUGUGAAUUCAUAAUCAUAACACCAUCCACAGAGAAGCUAGAAAAGUAAUGAGAGCUGUCAUUUACUAAGCACUUAGGAUGUGCCAACUCUUUGUCAUCGCACAUAAAUCUUACAUGUAUUUUAUGAGGACAGUGCUACAAUCCCCUUUUUACAGAUUGAGGGGACUGGGGUUCAGAGAGGUGGAGUAACUUGCCCAACACUACCCAGCUACUAACCUG
RNAcentral lists this long non-coding RNA (1877 nucleotides) under Sus scrofa (pig). RNAcentral's name for it is "lncRNA (ENSSSCG00055028963.1)". The record is from RNAcentral. Lineage: Eukaryota; Metazoa; Chordata; Mammalia; Artiodactyla; Suidae.